Molecule: ribosomal RNA, 2753 nt
Filed under: Flavobacteriales bacterium
Lineage: Bacteria; Pseudomonadati; Bacteroidota; Flavobacteriia; Flavobacteriales
Description: 23S ribosomal RNA
Rfam family: Bacterial large subunit ribosomal RNA
Source: RNAcentral
UCAUAAGCAACGAAGAGCAACUGGCGGAUGCCUUGGCUCUUGAUGGCGAUGAAGGACGUGAUAAGCUGCGAUAAGCUAUGCUGAGGUGCAAAUGACCUUUGAAGCGUAGAUUUCCGAAUGGGGUAACCUGGCUUCGGCCGCCCAGCGCAAACCCGGAGAACUGAAACAUCUAAGUACCCGGAGGAAUAGAAAAUAAUUAAUGAUUCCCUUAGUAGCGGCGAGCGAACGGGGAACAGCCCAAACCAACAUUGUUUCGGCAUUGUUGGGGUUGUAGGACCUACGUGAUCCAGUCAGAAUGUCUGCAGAACCACUUGGAAAGGUGGACCAUAGGGGGUGAUAGUCCCGUAUGCAGGUUGAAUGGCGGUGGUGGGUAUCCUGAGUAGCGCGGAACAUGUGAAAUUCUGUGUGAAUCUGCCGGAACCAUCCGGUAAGGCUAAAUACAUCAAGAGACCGAUAGUGAACCAGUACCGUGAGGGAAAGGUGAAAAGUACCCUGAACAAGGGAGUGAAAUAGAACCUGAAACCAGUUGUUUACAAGCGGUCGGAGCCUUCGGGCGACGGCGUGCCUUUUGCAUAAUGAUCCUACGAGUUACUCCUCUCUGGCAAGGAUAAGGCCUUCAGGGCCGCAUCCGAAGCGAAAGCAAGUCUUAAAUAGGCGCAUAGUCAGGGGGGGUAGACGCGAACCCUGGUGAUCUACCCAUGGUCAGGUUGAAGCUUCGGUAAAACGAAGUGGAGGACCGAACCCGUAUACGUUGAAAAGUGUUGGGAUGAACUGUGGGUAGGGGUGAAAGGCCAAUCAAACCGGGAAAUAGCUCGUUCUCCCCGAAAUGCAUUUAGGUGCAGCCUCGGAAUUGAGUGUCAUAGAGGUAGAGCUACUGAUUAGACUAGGGGGCUUCACCGCCUACCAAAUCUUGAUAAACUCCGAAUGCUAUGACAUAUAUCCGGGAGUGAGGGCAUGGGUGCUAAGGUCCAUGUCCGAGAGGGAAAGAACCCAGACUAUCCGUUAAGGUCCCCAAGUGUGUGCUAAGUUGAUUUAACGUGGUGCGAUUGCAUUGACAGCUAGGAUGUUGGCUUGGAAGCAGCCAUUCAUUUAACGAGUGCGUAACAGCUCACUAGUCGAGCGAUUGUGCGUGGAUGAUAAUCGGGCAUAAGCACAUCACCGAAGCGGUAGAUUUUAUGGUAGGGGAGCAUUCCAGUUGCACUGAAGGCGAAUCGUAAGAUUCUCUGGAGCGGCUGGAAAAGAAAAUGUAGGAAUGAGUAACGAUAAAGCAGGCGAGAAACCUGCUCACCGAUAGACUAAGGUUUCCUGAUCAACGCUAAUCGGAUCAGGGUUAGUCGGGACCUAAGGCGAACCCGAAGGGGGUAGUCGAUGGAAAGCUGGUUAAUAUUCCAGCACCUGUCCACACUAAAAGUGACGGAGAAUUGUAGUGGUUGCGUACUGACGGAAUAGUGCGCUGAGCCUAGCCUUCGGGCGAAGCGAAAUCAUGAAAGUUCUUCCAAGAAAAGCGAGUGGACGGCCCGUACCGCAAACCGACACAGGUAGUCAAGGAGAGAAUCCUAAGGUGCUCGAGUGAUUCAUGGUUAAGGAACUAGGCAAAUUAGUCUCGUAACUUCGGGAUAAGAGACGCUCUUCGGAGCCGCAGUGAAUAGGUCCAGGCGACUGUUUAUCAAAAACACAUGGCUUUGCAAAAUCGAAAGAUGACGUAUAAGGCCUGACACCUGCCCGGUGCUGGAAGGUUAAGAGGAGGAGUUAGCUUCGGCGAAGCUCUGAAUUGAAGCCCCAGUAAACGGCGGCCGUAACUAUAACGGUCCUAAGGUAGCGAAAUUCCUUGUCGGGUAAGUUCCGACCUGCACGAAUGGUGUAACGAUCUGGACACUGUCUCAACCAUGAGCUCGGUGAAAUUGUAGUAUCGGUGAAGAUGCCGAUUACCCGCAACGGGACGAAAAGACCCCGUGAACCUUUACUAUAGCUUUGCAUUGGAAUUGGUUAAUUAAUGUGUAGGAUAGGUGGGAGACUUCGAAGCUGCGUCGCUAGGCGUGGUGGAGUCAUUGUUGAAAUACCACCCUUUAAUUGAUUGGUUUCUAACCACAGGGACAUUGCAUGGUGGGUAGUUUGACUGGGGUGGUCGCCUCCAAAAUAGUAACGGAGGCUUCUAAAGGUGCGCUCAGUACGGUUGGUAAUCGUACGCAGAGUGUAAUGGCACAAGCGCGCUUGACUGUGAGACUUACAAGUCGACCAGGUACGAAAGUAGAGCAUAGUGAUCCGGUGGUUCCGCAUGGAAGGGCCAUCGCUCAAAGGAUAAAAGGUACUCCGGGGAUAACAGGCUGAUCACUCCCAAGAGCUCACAUCGACGGAGUGGUUUGGCACCUCGAUGUCGGCUCGUCACAUCCUGGGGCUGGAGAAGGUCCCAAGGGUUGGGCUGUUCGCCCAUUAAAGUGGCACGCGAGCUGGGUUCAGAACGUCGUGAGACAGUUCGGUCUCUAUCUGUUGUGGGCGCUCGAGAUUUGAGCGGACCCGUCCCUAGUACGAGAGGACCGGGAUGGACGUACCUCUGGUGUAUCUGUUGUGGCGCCAGCUGCAUUGCAGAGUAGCUAUGUACGGAUGAGAUAAGCACUGAAAGCAUCUAAGUGCGAAACUCGCCGCGAGAUGAGAUCUCGUUGAGAGCCGUGGAAGACGACCACGUUGAUAGGCCGCAGGUGUAAAGAUGGUGACAUCAAAGCCGAGCGGUACUAAUUGCUCAAAAGCUUAUGAAG